Coturnix japonica (Japanese quail) is the source of this 3114-nucleotide non-coding RNA. NCBI's taxonomy places the organism in Eukaryota, Metazoa, Chordata, Aves, Galliformes, Phasianidae. The record is from RefSeq and is a predicted model, not a curated record.
GGAGGGGGGGAAAGAGGAGCGUUGCGCAUGCGCAGAGCCUCGUGCAGCCGUUCCCUGGCGGCCGUUAGGAGGCGCUGAGGUAAACACAGCCCUGCUGAGGGAACUGUGUGCAGUCAAACCAUCCUUGAUGGCUGUAAAAUGCGUCCCUGAUAAUUGUGGGGACGGUCAAGGUGACCUGCAUUUAGAGGACAUCUGCUGGCUCUUCACAGUAUUCUGCUGGCAGUGACACUCAGCAAAAAAGGGCCACAUCACAUGGAGGAUGACUCAGAGACAUCAUCCCUCCCCACUUCGUGAACAGGGGAGAUGGCUGUGCUUUUGAAGAAAGCUUUAGAAAACAUGACAAGGUUUGGAUCAGGAUUCCCCGUCAUUAAUCCCCUGAGAGCUGAGCUCUGUGUCCCAGUGAGAAUCCAUCCAAGUUGAGGAACUUCCCUCUUGAAGCAAACAAAUUUGCAAGGUAAGACAGCAUUGCUCAGAGUAUAAUUUGCAUUUUGAGCUAUAACAAUAUUUCUUUUCCAUAUUCCGUUUGUACAAAGCUAGACUCCUGAAAAUGUUUAAACUAUUUCAUAAAUGUUUCUAGCUUUAUGUAUAGCAAGAAUUAAGUUUACAGGGUGAUGACUUAGCUACACAGCACACAAUCUAAUAGCAUUAGACAUAUUCUAACAAGUAGAAGCUCUCCCAAGCAGUGCACAGUAACAAUUAUCAAGUAAAUAAUGAAAAGUAAGAAGAUGAAGAGACACUUCUGCUUGAGGGACAUAACACAAGAACUUCAAGCAUUAGACUAAAAACAGACGUAAUUUCACUUGUGAGAUUAUCUACAAACAUUUUUGAGAUCAGAAUCCAUGCUAGUGCCAUCUUAAUUGCUAAAAUGUUAAUUAAUUGGGAUUUUUUUAAACACAGAAUAGAAACAUUGGUACCUGAAUCUAAGAUUUUCAAUGUGCAUCUUAAUAAUUCCGUCAGUUACCACCAAAAUCACCGUGUUCUGAACGACACUGAAAAUUUUGACUGAAGUGACGAGCAGUUACAUGAACCUCACAAAGUUAUUAAUCACUGAAGUGAAAAAGGCAGACUUCAUUACCUUCAACAAUCAGCUACACAGAAAACCAUGCUCACUUUUAAAGAUGCUAAAUACAAAAUGUUAUCAACACGCUACCAUGAAUUACCAACCAUUCUGAGAGAAAGAACGGCACAGUUCUUGGCCAAAUGUAGCGAGUUUAUGAAGCAGAACCAAGAGAUCAUUUAUUUACCAGUUUACCCACUUUGGACAUUAAAAUCUGUUUGUACCUGUCUUUGAAAGCGUAGUUUAAAGCCUCUGCUGGAAAACAGUGCAUAACAUUGACUGAAUUUACAGAACUGAAAAAAAUCCUACAGAAAAAGAAAUGGAUUCUUAAAAUAAACAUCCACAGUUUGUAUUACAUGGAGUUUGUUAUACAACAUUCCUUCUACUGUUUCUACUUGCAUGAGGUAUAACAAUGGUUAGAAAUAUUCCUUUUCAGGUCUUUUAUUUUUCAGGCAUUUGGUGCUGGAAAUCUGGAUUUAUUCUGAUGGGUACCAAUAACAGAUGUAUGUGUUCAGUGUUAGCACAAGAAACUAUAAAUGCAAGUGCUGUGGAAUAGGGCACAUUUUCAGCUUCCUUCCAUAAAUGUCCAUCAACUUCUGUACCUCUCUAGGAAUAGAGAUGCCUGCAUCGACUGCAGUCUGGAUACAGUAAAAAAAACUGUCAAGAGAAACCACAGAACGUCUGACUCUUUUUAACCUAUGUCCUUUUCUGGAAGGAGCCUGCCUAUACAGGUUAGCUUCCAUAGGGGGUGCUCCAGCUCCAUACCAAAUCAAUAAAAAACGGUUCAUUCACACCAGAAACUGUGCAGGGCUUUUGUGAUGAUAUUCUUCUUCUAGGUCAAAACCAGGAUUCCUCUGGAUGCUAAUGUAAAUGCACUAAGUUAAAUGGUGCUGAGGACAUAACACAGGAAAAAAAUCUUACAUGAGCCAUGAGAAAUGCAUAUGCUUUUUGCCAUUGUUGCCCCUGUUCCAUGCCUGGUUCCCACUGGUGCUGAUCAGCAAUGGUGAGCAGCAGUGAGAUUGAACUUCGUAACACACAGCCAUGCACUUCACUUAAAUAUCCUGUUGUGCUUUUGUGGGUGAAGGCAAAUACAACUUAAGGGCAAAGAAAAAUCAAGCCAAGGUAUUCCUUUCUUAGUCCGAGUACUCUUUCAUUCAUAUCAACGUGGGUAUGCCAAAUAACUGCUGCUUCUGAGAAACCAUCAGAAGGAAGAUGUCCACAACCACCAAUACGCAUAAUUUUGCUGCUUCAUCACAUGAAAGUGUGCUGACUUUGUGGCUGCAGGUUUGUUUUUCAGAUCAACAAGAAUCCUGAAGUGAAUUGCACGUUCUCCCUACCUCCUCCCCACUUAACAGCCCUCCUCUGUUGGCUUGCCAUCACUGUGGCUGCAGAGAUGUUCUUGAAAAUGUUUCUUUUCCUAACCAUAGUGGUGAAACAGAAUGGCCGGGUCUGUACCUUGUUCUCUCUGGAUGCACACAAAGCAGUCGACUGUAACCCUGCACCACUGGCUCUGCCUGGAGCUGCUUCUCAGUGUCUUUUAAUUUUUUCCACAGAAAUCUCUCAGAUAACCUGAUUUGUAGAUGGAGAAUAGAGAUGUAAAAGCAUUACUGAUGCAACUCAGCUCUGUACAUCUCAAACUGAUAUGUUGUCAUGAAGGAACCAUCAAUUUUGGAAAGGGCUGAUUAACAAAACCUUCCAUCAUACACUUAAACUUCAGGCUUAAGACUUCUACUGCGUGAAAUUAAAGCAACUACAGAAUGAUUUAAACCAAGCUGUGAAUGACCCAGUGAGCGUGAGCAGUCAAAGGCAUUUAAAGGAUCAGUUUAGAAUUACUCUGAGUGCAAUUUGCUAGUUGAAACAUGCUAAGGAUUUGAUCGUGAGAACCUAAAGAAUGGAAUUUACUUUCCUAAAUACAUAGAUAUAUUUUUUCUUUUGAUCCCAUUGUUAGCAAGUAGAGGCAGCGAAAGGAAAAAAAAAGUUGCACUAUUGAUGAAGGAUGCGAUAGGGCACUGUGCAAAUGUCCAAAUCUAAAUGUGCUGGCUGGGGGUAAAAAUAAA